RNAcentral lists this long non-coding RNA (978 nucleotides) under Triticum aestivum (bread wheat). RNAcentral's name for it is "long non-coding RNA (TAES_LNC015315)". The record is from RNAcentral. Lineage: Eukaryota; Viridiplantae; Streptophyta; Magnoliopsida; Poales; Poaceae.
GCUCCUUGGGGGCAAAGUUAAAUCAAACAUCUCUGGUUGCACUUUCUUCAUUCAGGUAUGGGUAAACUAAGCUGGUUUGAGUCUUGUGCAUACGAAGAUGCAUAUGUGAUGACUAAUAUUGUAGAUAAAUAAUGCCACAGGUGUUCUAUCUGGACAAUCUUGAUCUUGAGGACGAGAACCUACCACACGACGUCUUCCCAAGAUGCAAGGUCUAUGAUCAGAAAAAGAUUAGCAUGGUUAUUGAAAAGGACACAAGCGCAGGAAAGAACGCAGAUAUUGUUAUAUACGGACUACUUCUGGUACAGUCCUAAACGUUGACCCUACUCAUUUUGGUUGUUUUUCAGAUGUUAUCUUUGCAUUAUGUUUGCGACUAACUUGCAGUGAAUAUUUGUUGUUCAGCCGAGGCCGGCGCACACAGUGUGCUAUAGCAGGAACAGAGCUUCAAUGUCCUUCAUUGGCAAGAUUGCUGAUAUCGGAGCCGGGUCAAGCAGAUAUCAAAGAGCACCGAUGAUCGAGGAGGUACUAAAGUUAUCGCAAUAUACAUAUUGACCUACGUGCUAGUGUGUUCAGAAUGCUGCAUGAUGUACAUUCAGUGCUGAUUUCCGUUUUGUGUAAUAUCAGAUUGUUACUAUACUUGUGGAAAAAGUGGGCCAAUAUUCAUCUAGAUGCCGAGCAGCGUUGCAAGCGGCGUCUAAGAAAGGGGCCAAGAUAAACAAAAAGCACGCGGAUGGGUGGGAUGGUGUUGUGAGGGAGACUGACAUUUUCAUUGAAGAAGAGACCUCUAAGAUGCUCGCAGAUAUUGAUGAAAUAUCAGAAACUGUAAGGCAGAACAACAAAAGGCCAAGGGAACAAGACUACCAAGGUAAACGAGUUAUGCUAUGAAUAUGACCAAAAUUAAAUGGACCAGGACUUGAUGAAUCAUAUGUUGUGCUUGUAAUUGAUACCUUUGUAUUGACGAUACAGAUGAUGAUGUCUCAC